Molecule: RNase MRP RNA, 193 nt
Filed under: Bigelowiella longifila
Lineage: Eukaryota; Cercozoa; Chlorarachniophyceae
Description: partial RNase MRP
Rfam family: RNase MRP
About the family: RNase MRP is an enzymatically active ribonucleoprotein with two distinct roles in eukaryotes. In mitochondria it plays a direct role in the initiation of mitochondrial DNA replication. In the nucleus it is involved in precursor rRNA processing, where it cleaves the internal transcribed spacer 1 between 18S and 5.8S rRNAs.
Source: RNAcentral
AAUUGUACUGUGGGGAAAGUCCCCGAACGAAGGGAAGAAAGUUCCACCCUUAAAUGGGAAGCUCCUCUUAGCCUCCUGUUCUGACGAAGACGGCAAUUGCUUGAGUCAGGGAGACUAUGGGCAGCGUUCGUUAUAGCACAGUCAUGCAAGUAGCGGUCUAUAUGGCCGCCAACUCAACGGGGCUUACUCUCCU